GACGAACGCUGGCGGCGUGCUUAACACAUGCAAGUCGAACGCUGAACCCGCUUCGGUGGGGGAUGAGUGGCGAACGGGCGAGUAACACGUAGGCAACCUGCCCCCGGCUCUGGGUUAACUCCAAGAAAUUGGGGCUAAUACCUGAUGUGACCGCUGGCCGCAUGGUCUGGUGGUGGAAAGGGGUUCCGGCUGGGGAUGGGCGCGCGGCCUAUCAGCCUGUUGGUGGGGUAGUGGCCUACCAAGGCGACGACGGGUAGCCGGCCUGAGAGGGUGACCGGCCACACUGGGACUGAGACACGGCCCAGACUCCUACGGGAGGCAGCAGUGGGGAAUAUUGCGCAAUGGGCGGAAGCCUGAAGCAGCGACGCCGCGUGGGGGAUGACGGCCUUCGGGUUGUAAACCUCUUUCAGCAGGGACGAAGCGCAAGUGACGGUACCUGCAGAAGAAGCACCGGCCAACUACGUG
This 465-nucleotide ribosomal RNA is filed under the name uncultured bacterium. RNAcentral's name for it is "partial 16S ribosomal RNA". It matches the Rfam family "Bacterial small subunit ribosomal RNA", at positions 28 to 507 of the family's 1533-position model. The record is from RNAcentral.